Molecule: non-coding RNA, 49 nt
Filed under: bovine gut metagenome
Also listed under: 1 other name
Description: L31-Gammaproteobacteria ribosomal protein leader
Rfam family: L31-Gammaproteobacteria ribosomal protein leader
Source: RNAcentral
CGUGUGGUGUUCGACUUCGGGUUGGAUGGCGACACGGCCUGUUUGAGGU